Molecule: non-coding RNA, 138 nt
Organism: Ornithorhynchus anatinus (platypus)
Lineage: Eukaryota; Metazoa; Chordata; Mammalia; Monotremata; Ornithorhynchidae
Source: Rfam
CCCCUCUCAGGGUUGUACCUGGAGAGUUUCCAGGACUCUACCAGACUCGGCUACAGGAGGGAGAGUCGAGCGGAGGUCUACCCAUUCUAUUCCUAGCUUGGCCAGUGGCUAGGGAGUGGCAGACCAUCUGCUACAAGG